ACUAGGGGGUCAAUACAUUGAAUGUAUUGACAAGUUCACCAAAGGGUUAUAACAGAUCCUAUCAAGUACAUGCAGUAUUGGCUAGGUGGGGUUUGGCUAUUUGCAUAAAAGCAUCACUGUUUCAUCCUAUCAUUUUUAAAAAAAUAAUUUUAUCUCUAUUGGACACGGGGUAGACACACCCAUGCUCCUAUUAACCUAGAGCACAUUGAGUAGACACAUCAAUGCUCCUACCCAGUUCAAACCAUUCAUUUUAUUAGGAAAUUGGAAUGAGUGAGACCUUCCUUACAACCCCCACAUCUAGUUGCUUAGAAUUGUCCGUAACCAGGGACACGGCUAAGUACUUAGUUUGACACUCUCGAGAGGUUGUACACAUUCCCCACAAGAAACCGACGGGUUAAUCCCUUGCUGUCCUCAGGAUAGAGUAGAACCGGCGUCGAUUACAAGAAUUUUCAGACCAUAGUCACUCAGACCACCGAGGGACCUACGUUCCCACCUACACGGCUACAUCUGCACAAUCCCUCGGAUCCAGGAUCAUAUGUCUUACUCCAUCAAGCCAGAGCUCAUAUUAGCAUGUCGUUGUACUGGAAGCUACUAAACAGGAAACUAGUCCAGUCUCUGAUACCCCAGGUGGCAUUCCACAUUUGCGACGCAGGCGCUCCCAUAGAAAUGGCGAGACAACUCAUAGAAAUAGACCCAUAGAAAUGGACCUGACGUCGCAUACAUCUCAAAUACUCAAAGCAGCCCACCCAGGACGGUUUAUUGAAUUACUUGUUUUGCCAUACACUAGGAAAACCAUACUUUAAUUCAAUAACAACACAUUGUAAUAAUACCAACCCUCGUAUACUAACAUAGCAUAGCAUUUGACUACUACGAUGGCAAUUGGUGGUAAGGGCAUGGCAAGGGUAUCCUAUACUACUAGGAGAAAUCAUAGCUAGCAUAGAUAUAUACAAUAAUAAUCCUAACAAUGCAACUAAUAAAAUCUAGUGCAUAAUAAAAAUAAUAGGAUGAUGGUCAAAGUGAAGUUGCCUUAAUAGCAGUUGGUAUUCAAGCACUCUUCGCAAUCACACAGUUCGCUCUUCGAGCAAACUAAACGAAGCAAACAAUGCACACAUAAACAUACAAUACAACCAAAAAAGAAAAAAAAUAUGCCAUGAUGCAAUGCAUAACAUGUGACAUGAUUGGGUUGAUUUUAUUUGAAAAAAAAACAGAUUAUAUUUUUGGUCCAAAACAUUAGCAAUUAAAAUUAAUGCAUUAGAUUUUAAAACAAAAUGCAAAAACUAGGGAUUAAACCAUAAAACAAGGUUUUAUUGGCAUCAGCCUAUUAAUUUAAUUCAAAAAGUUAAUUUCUCUGUCCCAUUGUACAGUGGACAUUAAAACAAAUUUUUUAGCACUGGUUUUAAUUAAAAAGGAUCUCUAAAUCAAAAGAUAUGAUUUAAAUGGCAUUAAAGGCCUUUCUGUAAUUUGAAUGUGGUUAAGUUAUUCCAAUUUAAAUUUGGGCAGUUCAGCAAGAUUAUACAAGUCCUAAGGAUUCCAGAAAGGUGUGGAUCAUCAAAUUUGGCCAAACGGUUUAAAAGAUAUGAACGUUUGAAGUUUCGGGGGCUUUUCUGCAAAAGUGCCAUUUGAUUCAAUUCGGGAUUAAAAAUUACAUUUUCGUUUUUAUAAAUCAAUGCGACGUGUCUCUCCCUGAUUGGACGGUACCAGUUCACUUAAAAACAAAUAACCGGAUCUAAUCUCGGCCAACCCAACGGCCACG
RNAcentral lists this long non-coding RNA (1753 nucleotides) under Brachypodium distachyon (stiff brome). Its description in RNAcentral is "long non-coding RNA (BDIS_LNC003326)". Lineage: Eukaryota; Viridiplantae; Streptophyta; Magnoliopsida; Poales; Poaceae. The record is from RNAcentral.